RNAcentral lists this ribosomal RNA (1154 nucleotides) under Acinetobacter nosocomialis. RNAcentral describes it as "bacterial SSU rRNA". It matches the Rfam family "Bacterial small subunit ribosomal RNA", at positions 93 to 1238 of the family's 1533-position model. The record is from RNAcentral. Lineage: Bacteria; Pseudomonadati; Pseudomonadota; Gammaproteobacteria; Moraxellales; Moraxellaceae.
UAGCGGCGGACGGGUGAGUAAUGCUUAGGAAUCUGCCUAUUAGUGGGGGACAACAUCUCGAAAGGGAUGCUAAUACCGCAUACGUCCUACGGGAGAAAGCAGGGGAUCUUCGGACCUUGCGCUAAUAGAUGAGCCUAAGUCGGAUUAGCUAGUUGGUGGGGUAAAGGCCUACCAAGGCGACGAUCUGUAGCGGGUCUGAGAGGAUGAUCCGCCACACUGGGACUGAGACACGGCCCAGACUCCUACGGGAGGCAGCAGUGGGGAAUAUUGGACAAUGGGCGCAAGCCUGAUCCAGCCAUGCCGCGUGUGUGAAGAAGGCCUUAUGGUUGUAAAGCACUUUAAGCGAGGAGGAGGCUACUUUAGAUAAUACCUAGAGAUAGUGGACGUUACUCGCAGAAUAAGCACCGGCUAACUCUGUGCCAGCAGCCGCGGUAAUACAGAGGGUGCAAGCGUUAAUCGGAUUUACUGGGCGUAAAGCGCGCGUAGGCGGCUAAUUAAGUCAAAUGUGAAAUCCCCGAGCUUAACUUGGGAAUUGCAUUCGAUACUGGUUAGCUAGAGUGUGGGAGAGGAUGGUAGAAUUCCAGGUGUAGCGGUGAAAUGCGUAGAGAUCUGGAGGAAUACCGAUGGCGAAGGCAGCCAUCUGGCCUAACACUGACGCUGAGGUGCGAAAGCAUGGGGAGCAAACAGGAUUAGAUACCCUGGUAGUCCAUGCCGUAAACGAUGUCUACUAGCCGUUGGGGCCUUUGAGGCUUUAGUGGCGCAGCUAACGCGAUAAGUAGACCGCCUGGGGAGUACGGUCGCAAGACUAAAACUCAAAUGAAUUGACGGGGGCCCGCACAAGCGGUGGAGCAUGUGGUUUAAUUCGAUGCAACGCGAAGAACCUUACCUGGCCUUGACAUAGUAAGAACUUUCCAGAGAUGGAUUGGUGCCUUCGGGAACUUACAUACAGGUGCUGCAUGGCUGUCGUCAGCUCGUGUCGUGAGAUGUUGGGUUAAGUCCCGCAACGAGCGCAACCCUUUUCCUUAUUUGCCAGCGAGUAAUGUCGGGAACUUUAAGGAUACUGCCAGUGACAAACUGGAGGAAGGCGGGGACGACGUCAAGUCAUCAUGGCCCUUACGGCCCAGGGCUACAUCACCGUGCUACAACUGGUCGGU